This 465-nucleotide ribosomal RNA is filed under the name uncultured bacterium. RNAcentral describes it as "partial 16S ribosomal RNA". It matches the Rfam family "Bacterial small subunit ribosomal RNA", at positions 28 to 505 of the family's 1533-position model. The record is from RNAcentral.
GACGAACGCUGGCGGCGUGCUUAACACAUGCAAGUCGAACGGAAAGGCCUCUUUCGGGGGGUCCUCGGUGGCGGACCGGGCGGGUAACACGUGAGUAACUUGCCCUUGCCUUUGGGUAAACUCCAGGAACUUGGGGCUAUUACCGGUAAGGAGCUCCUCCUCAAGGGGGGGGGUGGGAAAGUUCCGGGGGUUGGGGAUGGAUUCGCGGCUUAUCAGCUUGUUGGGGGGGAAGUGGCUUACCAAGGCUUUGACGGGUAGCCGGCCUGAGAGGGUGACGGGCCACAUGGGGACUGAGAUACGGCCCAGACUCCUACGGGAGGAAGCAGUGGGGAAUAUUGCACAAGGGGUGGAAGCCUGAUGCAGCAACGCCGUGUGCGGGAUGACGGCCUUCGGGUUGUAAACCGCUUUCGCUCAUGACGAAGCUUUGUGUGACGGUAGUGGGUAAAGAGGCACCGGCUAACUACG